GGAGUGGGGGAGUAACUAAGUCGAAAGACUAGCUAAUACCGCAUACGAUCUACGGAUGAAAGUGGGGGGAGUCGCAAGACCUCAUGCUCGUGGAGCGGCCGAUAUCUGAUUAGCUAGUUGGUGGGGUAAUGGCCUACCAAGGCGACGAUCCUUAGCUGGUCUAAGAGGAUGAUCAGCCACACUGGGACUGAGACACGGCCCCG
This 203-nucleotide ribosomal RNA is filed under the name uncultured bacterium. Its description in RNAcentral is "partial 16S ribosomal RNA". It matches the Rfam family "Bacterial small subunit ribosomal RNA", at positions 133 to 334 of the family's 1533-position model. The record is from RNAcentral.